GACGAACGCUGGCGGCGUGCUUAACACAUGCAAGUCGAACGGAAAGGCCCUGCUUUUGUGGGGUGCUCGAGUGGCGAACGGGUGAGUAACACGUGAGUAACCUGCCCUUGACUUUGGGAUAACUUCAGGAAACUGGGGCUAAUACCGGAUAGGAGCUCCUGCUGCAUGGUGGGGGUUGGAAAGUUUCGGCGGUUGGGGAUGGACUGGCGGCUUAUCAGCUUGUUGGUGGGGUAGUGGCUUACCAAGGCUUUGACGGAUAGCCGGCCUGAGAGGGUGACCGGCCACAUGGGGACUGAGAUACGGCCCAGACUCCUACGGUAGGCAGCAGGGGGGAAUAUUGCACAAUGGGCGGAAGCCGGAUGCAGCAACGCCGCGGUCGGGAUGACGGCCUUCGGGUUGUAAACCGCUUUCGCCUGUGACGAAGCGUGAGUGACGGUAAUGGGUAAAGAAGCACCGGCUAACUACGUG
Molecule: ribosomal RNA, 468 nt
Filed under: uncultured bacterium
Lineage: Bacteria
Description: partial 16S ribosomal RNA
Rfam family: Bacterial small subunit ribosomal RNA
Source: RNAcentral